RNAcentral lists this long non-coding RNA (10499 nucleotides) under Cucumis sativus (cucumber). RNAcentral describes it as "long non-coding RNA (CSAT_LNC001853)". Lineage: Eukaryota; Viridiplantae; Streptophyta; Magnoliopsida; Cucurbitales; Cucurbitaceae. The record is from RNAcentral.
CUUCGGAUCUAACCGCCGCGCCCAUCCGCCUGUAACCGUCGUGCCUCUCCGCUCACAACCGUCGUGCCUCCCUCGGAAAGCAAAUCGUCGUCCAGAUCUGCAUUGCCGAGCCGUCCAGGUCCUCGCCGCCGCUCGUGCUUCACCUUGUAGUUCGCCGUAACCCAGAUCCAUCGCUGUCCGAUCUCUUCUCCUCGUCCCGCCGUCGCCGCUGCACUCGCCUGAAGUCAUCGUCCGUCCUGUUUCGCGAAGCUCCGCCGCUCCACCUGUUAUCGACGCCGGCCGACUAGCUACUAUUAAAAAAAAAAAAUCCAAAACCCUUCUGCCUUCGUUUGCAAAACGUCGCGGCGUGAAUUCUGCCUUCUAAUCGUGGAUUUGACCUCCAAGUUGUGAGUUGAUUGGUUAUUGUGGAUAUAGUAAUAUUGUUCUUGGCUAGUAAGUUUUAAAAACUGGUUAAUUGAUUUGGGUAAUGCUGAUUUUAAGGUGAUACUGAAGAGGUCGUGCUUAGAUAUCUAAGUUCCAACGUGAGCUUCAUUGGAAUUGUUGCUUCAUUCUACUUGGAAUUUGUCUUAUUGAAUUUAGCCCGAUUGAAAAACUUACAUAACCUUGAGGUAAGGGAUUUUCUACUGGACUCACCUAAAGUUUUUGAGUUGUGUUGGACUGUAUGGAUGAUGAUUAAGAUGUACAUGUUUGAUUGCAGACUAAAUGUUUAGUGUAUGUUGUAUUUGACUGGAAACAUAUAUAUAUACAUUGAUGUGUGAAUUGAUGUGGAUUGCCGAAAGUAUACAUGUGAAUGACUGAAAUUAUGCUUAUGUGUACAUGAUGAUAUUAAUAGAUUGUGCUGUAUAAAGAUUGGAUGUGAACUAGUGAAUUUGUUUCGGUUGGAUGUGGAUUAUACUGAACUGUGGUUUGUGCUGGUGAACUGAGGGGUGUAUUGACUUGACUGUAUAGUGGAUUGACUGAUGUAUUAGCAUUUUAUUGACAGACAUAUGAUUGUAGUAAAAUAAGUUGACUGUUAGGAUGUUGAAAGAAAGGACUUUGUGAUUUGAAGUAACUGAAAGAUGGGUUGAAUGGAAUGAGGGGAUAAAUUGUUAGGUUGUAUUGGGAUGUUUACCUUGUAGGUGUCCCACGGGAUCACCAAUUUAUUUUGCACCUUCGGGAGCAUUUGACUGAUAUGUGUUUCUGCAGAACACUUGACUGAUAUGUACGUCCCUCGGGGCGUUAGACUGAUAUGUACGUCCCUCGGGGCGUUAGACUGAUAUGUACGUCCUUCGGGGCGUUAGACUGAAUGUGUAUCCUACGGGAUCACAAGACUGCGACUGUACAGGGUGUCCCAAUAGAACUUUAACAAUUUAUUUUCCCCUGACGAGACCAGUAGAGGGUCUCUUACUGAGUAUUGUUAUACUCACCCUUCUUAUGUUUAAUUUUCAGGCAAAGGAAAUAAAGGUGGCAAACCGGCGAGGGGCAGGAAGGAAGCGUGAUUGCCAUAGGAAUGUGUUAUUUUGCUUCCGCUUAUGAUUUCUUUUAAGGUUUAAGAUGUACUAAAACUUAGUUUACAAACUUUUAUUUGUAAAUAGUGUUAUUUUAAGUUUUCUUGAAUAUUUGAAAAUCAGGCCUGACAUAUGUUUUGUUUUUAAAUUGACUUACGUUUCAUUUGUAUCAACCAAAGUCUUUUGUAAAAAUAAUAACGACCUCGACUUACUAGAAAAGUUGGGUCGUUACAGUUGGUAUCAGAGCCUAAGUUUUAGGUUCUGUAGACUGACUUACGAUGUAAGUCUAUGUUUUUGUGUAUGGCUAACGCGACCCUUCGUCUCUCGUCAGGUAUGCUUGAUGCUUAUAUGUAUGGUUUAUUUGCAUGACCUUGCCUAAAUUAAACUAGAUUGCAUGACGAUAAAGACUUGCUUAUGUUAUAUGAUUAAGAUUUUGUUAAAGAGUGUUGUUGGUGGAUAAUAGGAAUUAUGCCGCCAAGGGAAGAAGUACGUAGAGGAGGUCGUAGAGGCCGAGGUAGAGGAGCAGGAGGCCGAGGUAGAGGAGCAGGUCGUAAUCAGCCUACUGAGGGUCAAGCUGAACAGCGAAUUCCUGCUGCACCCGUGACUCACGUCGAGUUUGAUGCACUGUCUGCUCACAUGGAGCAGAGGUUUACAGAACUUAUGACAGCUAUAGCUCAAAACCAGCAGGCACCUGCAGUCCACCUGCACCUGUAGUUCCCCCUGCACCAGCAGCCCCCUCCUGCACAAGAAUUACCUAACCAACUUUCUGCUGAGGCGAAACAUUUGAGGGACUUUCGGAAGUAUGACCCUCAGACGUUUGAUGGGUCACUGGAGGAUCCUACUAAAGCUGAAAUGUGGUUGUCCUCUGUGGAAACCAUAUUUAAUUACAUGAGAUGUCCGAGGAGCACAGAGUUCAGUGUGCUGCUUUUCUACUGAGGGACAGAGGCAUUAUCUGGUGGAGGACUACAAUGCGCAUGCUAGGUGGAGAUGUGAGGCAAUUACCUGGGAUCAGUUUAAGAACUGCUUCUAUACCAAGUUUUUCUCGGCUAACCUUAGAGACGCCAAAAGCCAGGAAUUCUUGGAGUUGAAGCAAGGAUAUAUGACAGUCGAGGAGUACGACCAGGAGUUUGAUAUGCUGUCACGUUUUGCCCCUGAGCUUGUUAGUAAUGAGCAGGCUAGAGCUGAUAGGUUCGUCAAGGGAUUGAGAGAUGAAAUUAGGGGUUUUGUGCGAGCACUAAAGCCCACUACCCAAGCUGAAGCACUGCGUCUGGCAGUGGAUAUGAGUAUUGGGAAGGAUGAAAGACAGCCAAGGAGCUUUAAUAAGGGAUCGUCGUCGGGUCAAAAGAGAAAAGUAGAGCAGAGAACUGUAGGAGUUCCUCAGAGGAACAUGAGACCAGGUGAUUCUUUUCGCAGUUUCCAGCAGAGUUCUGGCGGUGCAGGAGACACUACUCAGAGAGGCCAGUAUGUAAUACGUGUGGGAAACGCCACCUGGGUCGUUGUUUGAUGGGAACGAGAGUCUGUUAUAAGUGCAAGCAAGAGGGACACAUGGCUGAUAGGUGUCCCUUGAGAUCUACUGGGCUGGAUCGAGCAGUCAGGGAGAGAGACCUCCACAGCGGGGUACAAUCUUUGCCACUAAUAGAUCAGAGGCAGAGAAGGCCGGCACAGUAGUGACAGGUACAUUACCAGUGUUAGGGCAUUUUGCCUUGACCUUGUUUGACUCGGGAUCUUCUCAUUCAUUUAUUUCAUCGCUUUUUGUGACGCAUGCAUGCUUAGAGGUGGAACCCUUAGACUAUGUUUUGUCAGUGUCUACACCGUCUGGAGAAAUUAUGUUGUCUAAGGAAAAGAUUAAAGCAUGUGAAAUUGAGAUAGCUGGUCGUGUGCUGGACGUAACCUUGUUGGUAUUAGAUAUGCGUGACUUUGAUGUAAUUUUAGGUAUGGAUUGGCUAGCUACUAAUCAUGCUAGUAUUGAUUGUUCUCGUAAGGAAGUUGUGUUCAGUCCCCCUACUGCAUCUAGCUUUAAAUUCAAGGGGUAGGAACAGUAGUACUGCCUAAAGUAAUCUCAGCUAUGAAAGCUAGUAAACUACUCAGCCAGGGUACUUGGAGUAUUUUGGCAAGUGUGGUGGAUACUAGGGAAGGUGAGACUUCUUUAACUUCAGAACCUGUGGUAAGAGACUACCCAGAUGUAUUUCCAAAAGAUCUUCCAGGACUACCGCCACAUAGAGAGGUUGAUUUUGCCAUUGAGUUGGAGCCAAACACUACUCCUAUUUCUAGAGCCCCUUAUAGGAUGGCUCCUACUGAGUUGAAAGAACUGAAGGUACAGUUACAGGAAUUGCUUGAUAAAGGCUUUAUUCGACCUAGUGUGUCACCUUGGGGUGCACCAGUAUUGUUUGUGAAGAAGAAGGAUGGGUCGAUGCGUCUUUGCAUUGACUAUAGAGAGUUGAAUAAAGUAACAGUCAAGAACAGAUAUCCUUUACCCAGAAUCGAUGAUUUGUUCGAUCGGUUACAGGGAGCCACGGUGUUCUCUAAGAUUGACUUACGGUCAGGUUAUCACCAGUUGAGGAUUAGAGACCGUGAUAUUCCUAAGACUGCUUUUCGUUCGAGGUAUGGACAUUAUGAAUUCAUAGUAAUGUCUUUUGGUUUGACUAAUGCACCUGCUGUAUUUAUGGAUUUGAUGAACAGGGUGUUUAAGGAUUUCUUGGACACUUUUGUGAUAGUCUUCAUUGAUGAUAUUUUGGUUUAUUCCAAGACUGAAGCCGAACAUGAGGAACACUUACAUAAGGUGUUAGAGACUCUUCGAGUCAAUAAACUGUAUGCUAAGUUCUCGAAGUGCGAAUUUUGGUUGAAGCAGGUGGCUUUUCUUGGUCAUGUGGUUUCCAGUGAGGGAGUUUCAGUAGACCCUGCAAAGAUAGAAGCGGUUACCAGUUGGUCUCGACCCUCUACAGUUAGUGAGGUUCGUAGUUUUCUGGGUUUAGCAGGGUACUACCGGAGGUUUGUGGAGGAUUUUUCACGUUUGGCUACUCCUUUGACUCAGUUGACAAGGAAGGGAACUCCGUUUGUUUGGAGUCCAGCUUGUGAGGAUAGUUUUCAGAACUUAAGCAAAGGUUAGUUACUGCACCGGUCCUUACGGUACCAGAUGGAUCUGGAAGUUUUGUGAUUUACAGUGAUGCUUCCAAGAAAGGACUGGGUUGUGUUUUGAUGCAGAAAGGUAAGGUGGUUGCUUAUGCCUCUCGUCAGUUGAAGAGUCACGAGCAGAACUACCCCACACAUGAUUUGGAGUUGGCAGCAGUGGUUUUUGCAUUGAAGAUAUGGAGACAUUACUUGUACGGUGAAAAGAUACAAAUCUUUACUGACCAAAGAGCCUAAAGUACUUCUUCACUCAGAAGGAGUUGAAUAUGAGACAGCGAAGGUGGCUCGAGUUGGUAAAAGAUUAUGACUGUGAGAUAUUGUACCAUCCUGGUAAGGCGAAUGUUGUGGCUGAUGCUCUUAGUAGAAAAGUAUCACAUUCGGCAGCACUCAUUACUAGACAGGUACCAUUGCAUCGAGACUUGGAGAGAGCUGAGAUUGCAGUGUCUGUGGGGAGAGUCACCUCACAGCUAGCUCAAUUAACGGUGCAACCGACUCUGAGGCACAAGAUUGUUGAUGCUCAGAGUAGUGAUCCUUAUUUAAUGGAGAGACGUCGCCUUGUUGAAACAGGGCAGACUGAUGAGUUCUCCAUAUCCUCUGAUGGUGGGUUGAUGUUUGAAAGACGUUUAUGUGCCAGCGAACAGUACAGUUAAGAUUGACUUACUAGAUGAAGCCCAUAAUUCCCCAUGUUCCAUGCAUCCUGGUAGCACGAAAAUGUAUCAGGAUUUAAAACGAUUUUACUGGUGGCGGAAUAUGAAAAGGAAGUGGCGGAAUUUGUUAGUAAGUGUCUAGUAUGUCAGCAAGUUAAGGCACCUAGACAGAAACCAGCAGGUUUGUUACAACCCUUAAGUGUGCCAGAGUGGAAGUGGGAGAAUGUGUCGAUGGAUUUUAUUUCAGGGCUGCCUAAGACCCUGAAGGGUUUUCACAGUGAUUCUGGUUGUCAUAGACAGGCUUACGAAAUCGGCACAUUUUAUACCAGGAAAAUCCACUUAUACUGCUAGUAAGUGGGCAGAGUUGUAUUUAACUGAGAUUGUGAGACUGCAUGGAGUGCCUGUAUCGAUUGUUUCUGAUAGGGAUGCACGGUUUACUUCCAAGUUUUGGAAGGGACUUCAGACUGCUAUGGGUACAAGAUUGGAUUUCAGUACAGCCUUUCAUCCACAGACUGAUGGUCAAACUGAACGUUUGAACCAAGUUUUAGAGGAUAUGCUACGAGCUUGUGUUCUAGAGUUUCCAGGUAGUUGGGACUCUCAUCUACAUUUAAUGGAGUUUGCUUAUAACAACAGUUUCCAGGCUACCAUCGGUAUGGCGCCAUUUGAAGCUUUGUAUGGUAAAUGUUGUAGAACCCCUGUUUGUUGGAGUGAGGUUGGUGAACAUAGGUUGAUGGGACCUGAAUUAGUUCGGUCUACUAAUGAGACUAUUCAAAAGAUUAGAGCACGUAUGCAAACAGCGCAGAGUAGACAGAAGAGUUAUGCAGAUGUACGGCGAAAAGACCUUAAGUUCGAUGUGGGAGAAAAGGUAUUCUUGAAGGUAGCACCUAUGAAGGGUGUUAUGCGUUUUGAGAAGAAAGGAAAGUUAAGUCCUCGUUUUGUUGGACCAUUUGAGAUCUUAGAGAGGGUUGGUGUUGUGGCGUAUCGCUUGGCAUUACCACCAUCUCUCUCUGCAGUUCAUAAUGUUUUCCAUGUUUCGAUGUUGAGGAAGUAUGUGGCCGAUACAUCUCAUGUAGUGGACUAUGAACCCUUGGAGAUUGAUGAGCAUUUGAGCUAUGUAGAACAACCUGUGGAGAUUCUGGCUAGAGAAAUAAAGAUGCUUCGUAAUAGAAGCAUUCCAUUAGUAAAGGUUUUGUGGCGGAAUCAUCGAAUUGAAGAGGCGACAUGGGAGCGAGAGGAAGAGAUGAGGACUCGUUAUCCAGAGUUAUUUCAGGAGUAAAACUUUCGAGGACGAAAGUUUCUUAAGGAGGGAAGAAUGUAAUGCCCCAAAGGUGUAUAUAUAUAUAUAUAUUUGUUUUUAUUAUAUAUAUAUAUAUAUAUAUAUAUAUAUAUAUAUAUAUAUUAUAUAUAUAUAUAUUUAUUUAUAUUUAAUUUAAAUAAAAAGACAAGAAAAAGAAAUUUAUCUCUCUCUCUCUCUCGCGCGCUGCACAGCCCCCCCCCCCCCCGUUCUCUUCUCUUUUCCUUUCUCUUUUCUCUUCUCCCUUCCGUCUCCUUCCGUUCGCAGCCAGCAACCGCCGCCCCUUCUUCUCUUUUCUUCCUCUUUCGUUCGACGUCGACGAUCAGACCAAGCCGAAAACGAAAACCCAUCCCUCUUUUCUUCUUCGGAUCUAAACCGCCGCGCCCAUCCGCCUGUAACCGUCGUGCCUCUCCGCUCACAACCGUCGUGCCUCCCUCGGAAAGCAAAUCGUCGUCCAGAUCUGCAUUGCCGAGCCGUCCAGGUCCUCGCCGCCGCUCGUGCUUCACCUUGUAGUUCGCCGUAACCCAGAUCCAUCGCUGUCCGAUCUCUUCUCCUCGUCCCGCCGUCGCCGCUGCACUCGCCUGAAGUCAUCGUCCGUCCUGUUUCGCGAAGCUCCGCCGCUCCACCUGUUAUCGACGGCGGCCGACUAGCUCUUAUUAAAAAAAAAAAAAAUCCAAAACCCUUCUGCCUUCGUUUGCAAAACGUCGCGGCGUGAAUUCUGCCUUCUAAUCGUGGAUUUGACCUCCAAGUUGUGAGUUGAUUGGUAUUGUGGAUAUAGUAAUAUUGUUCUUGGCUAGUAAGUUUUAAAAACUGGUUAAUUGAUUUGGGUAAUGCUGAUUUUAAGGUGAUACUGAAGAGGUCGUGCUUAGAUAUCUAAGUUCCAACGUGAGCUUCAUUGGAAUUGUUGCUUCAUUCUACUUGGAAUUUGUCUUAUUGAAUUUAGCCCGAUUGAAAAACUUACAUAACCUUGAGGUAAGGGAUUUUCUACUGGACUCACCUAAAGUUUUUGAGUUGUGUUGGACUGUAUGGAUGAUGAUUAAGAUGUACAUGUUUGAUUGCAGACUAAAUGUUUAGUGUAUGUUGUAUUUGACUGGAAACAUAUUAUAUACAUUGAUGUGUGAAUUGAUGUGGAUUGCCGAAAGUAUACAUGUGAAUGACUGAAAUUAUGCUUAUGUGUACAUGAUGAUAUUAAUAGAUUGUGCUGUAUAAAGAUUGGAUGUGAACUAGUGAAUUUGUUUCGGUUGGAUGUGGAUUAUACUGAACUGUGGUUUGUGCUGGUGAACUGAGGGGUGUAUUGACUUGACUGUAUAGUGGAUUGACUGAUGUAUUAGCAUUUUAUUGACAGACAUAUGAUUGUAGUAAAAUAAGUUGACUGUUAGGAUGUUGAAAGAAAGGACUUUGUGAUUUGAAGUAUCUGAAAGAUGGGUUGAAUGGAAUGAGGGGAUAAAUUGUUAGGUUGUAUUGGGAUGUUUACCUUGUAGGUGUCCCACGGGAUCACCAAUUUAUUUUGCACCUUCGGGAGCAUUUGACUGAUAUGUGUUUCUGCAGAACACUUGACUGAUAUGUACGUCCCUCGGGGCGUUAGACUGAUAUGUACGUCCUUCGGGGCGUUAGACUGAAAUGUGUAUCCUACGGGAUCACAAGACUGCGACUGUACAGGGUGUCCCAAUAGAACUUUAACAAUUUAUUUUCCCCUGACGAGACCAGUAGAGGGUCUCUUACUGAGUAUUGUUAUACUCACCCUUCUUAUGUUUAAUUUUCAGGCAAAGGAAAUAAAGGUGGCAAACCGGCGAGGGGCAGGAAGCGUGAUUGCCAUAGGGAAUGUGUUAUUUUGCUUCCGCUUAUGAUUUCUUUUAAGGUUUAAGAUGUACUAAAACUUCGUUUACAAACUUUUAUUUGUAAAUAGUGUUAUUGUUAAGUUUUCUUGAAUAUUUGAAAAUCAGGCCUGGCAUGUUUUGUUUUUAAAUUGACUUAUGUUUCAAUUUGUAUCAACCAAAGUCUUUUCUCAAAAAUAAUAACGACCUCCACUUACUUAGAAAAGUUGGGUCGUUACAGUUGGUAUCAGAGCCUAAGUUUUAGGUUCUGUAGACUGACUUACGAUGUAAGUCUAUGUUUUUGUGUUCCUAUGGCUAACGCAACCCUUCGUCUCUCGUCAGGUAUGCUUGAUGCUUAUAUGUAUGGUUUAUUUGCAUGACCUUGCCUAAAUUAAACUAGAUUGCAUGACGAUAAAGACUUGCUUAUGUUUAUGAUUAAGAUUUUGUUAAAGAGUGUUGUUGGUGGAUAAUAGGAAUUAUGCCGCCAAGGGAAGAAGUACGUAGAGGAGGUCGUAGAGGCCGAGGUAGAGGAGCAGGAGGCCGAGGUAGAGGAGUAGGUCGUAAUCAGCCUACUGAGGGUCAAGCUGAACAUCGAAUUCCUGCUGCACCCGUGACUCACGUCGAGUUUGAUGCACUGUCUGCUCACAUGGAGCAGAGGUUUACAGAACUUAUGACAGCCAUAGCUCAAAACCAGCAGGCACCUGCAGUCCCACCUGCACCUGUAGUUCCCCUGCACAGCAGCCCCUCCUGCACAAGAAUUACCUAACCAACUUUCUGCUGAGGCGAAACAUUUGAGGGACUUUCGGAAGUAUGACCCUCAGACGUUUGAUGGGUCACUGGAGGAUCCUACUAAAGCUGAAAUGUGGUUGUCCUCUGUGGAAACCAUAUUUAAUUACAUGAGAUGUCCCGAGGAGCACAGAGUUCAGUCUGCUGCUUUUCUACUGAGGGACAGAGGCAUUAUCUGGUGGAGGACUACAAUGCGCAUGCUAGGUGGAGAUGUGAGGCAAAUUACCUGGGAUCAGUUUAAGAACUGCUUCUAUACCAAGUUUUUCUCGGCUAACCUUAGAGACGCCAAAAGCCAGGAAUUCUUGGAGUUGAAGCAAGGAUAUAUGACAGUCGAGGAGUACGACCAGGAGUUUGAUAUGCUGUCACGUUUUGCCCCUGAGCUUGUUAGUAAUGAGCAGGCUAGAGCUGAUAGGUUCGUCAAGGAUUGAGAGAUGAAAUUAGGGGUUUUGUGCGAGCACUAAAGCCCACUACCCAAGCUGAAGCACUGCGUCUGGCAGUGGAUAUGAGUAUUGGGAAGGAUGAAAGACAGCCAAGGAGCUUUAAUAAGGGAUCGCCGUCGGUCAAAAGAGAAAAGUAGAGCAGAGAACUGUAGGAGUUCCUCAGAGGAACAUGAGACCAGGUGAUUCUUUUCGCAGUUUCCAGCAGAGUUCUAGCGGUGCAGGAGACACUACUCAAGAGAGGCCAGUAUGUAAUACGUGUGGGAAACGCCACCUGGGUCGUUGUUUGAUGGGAACGAGAGUCUGUUAUAAGUGCAAGCAAGAGGGACACAUGGCUGAUAGGUGUCCCUUGAGAUCUACUGGGGCUGGAUCGAGCAGUCAGGGAGAGAGACCUCCACAGCGGGGUACAAUCUUUGCCACUAAUAGAUUAGAGGCAGAGAAGGCCGGCACAGUAGUGACAGGUACAUUACCAGUGUUAGGGCAUUUUGCCUUGACCUUGUUUGACUCGGGAUCUUCUCAUUCAUUUAUUUCAUCGCUUUUUGUGACACAUGCAUGCUUAGAAGUGGAACCCUUAGACUAUGUUUUGUCAGUGUCUACACCGUCUGGAGAAAUUAUGUUGUCUAAGGAAAAGAUUAAAGCAUGUGAAAUUGAGAUAGCUGGUCGUGUGCUGGACGUAACCUUGUUGGUAUUAGAUAUGCGUGACUUUGAUGUAAUUUUAGGUAUGGAUUGGCUAGCUACUAAUCAUGCUAGUAUUGAUUGUUCUCGUAAGGAAGUUGUGUACCUCCUAACUCUAUAUGUAGUGGAGCUAACUAAGAUGUCUCUCUCAUCCUUUAAGAUCGAUUGAGAUUAUAACUUGUUUUUUUGCUUUAUGGACACAUAUGAUUUUUAAGAGAUGGGAUUAGACAACG